GUGUUUGCUUUGGCAGCACACACGCUAAUACUGAGCGAUGCAGAGAAGAUUAGCAUGGGCCCUGUGCAAGGAUGACAGGCAAAUUUGUGAAACAUUCCAUAUAGUU
Small nuclear RNA from Bos taurus (domestic cattle), 106 nucleotides. The record is from Ensembl. NCBI's taxonomy places the organism in Eukaryota, Metazoa, Chordata, Mammalia, Artiodactyla, Bovidae.